CCUACGGGGGGCUGCAGUGGGGAAUAUUGGACAAUGGGGGUAACCCUGAUCCAGCCAUGCCGCGUGUGUGAAGAAGGCCCUCGGGUUGUAAAGCACUUUCAGUGAGGAAGAACGCCUGGUGGUUAAUACCCAUCAGGAAAGACAUCACUCACAGAAGAAGCACCGGCUAACUCCGUGCCAGCAGCCGCGGUAAUACGGAGGGUGCGAGCGUUAAUCGGAAUUACUGGGCGUAAAGCGCGCGUAGGUGGCUUGAUAAGCCGGUUGUGAAAGCCCCGGGCUCAACCUGGGAACGGCAUCCGGAACUGUCAAGCUAGAGUGCAGGAGAGGAAGGUAGAAUUCCCGGUGUAGCGGUGAAAUGCGUAGAGAUCGGGAGGAAUACCAGUGGCGAAGGCGGCCUUCUGGACUGACACUGACACUGAGGUGCGAAAGCGUGGGUAGCAAACAGGAUUAGAUACCCUGGUAGUC
Molecule: ribosomal RNA, 465 nt
Filed under: Vreelandella stevensii
Lineage: Bacteria; Pseudomonadati; Pseudomonadota; Gammaproteobacteria; Oceanospirillales; Halomonadaceae
Description: partial 16S ribosomal RNA
Rfam family: Bacterial small subunit ribosomal RNA
Source: RNAcentral